Molecule: ribosomal RNA, 468 nt
Filed under: uncultured bacterium
Lineage: Bacteria
Description: partial 16S ribosomal RNA
Rfam family: Bacterial small subunit ribosomal RNA
Source: RNAcentral
GACGAACGCUGGCGGCGUGCUUAACACAUGCCAGUCGAACGGAAAGGCCCUGCUUUUGUGGGGUGCUCGAGUGGCGAACGGGUGAGUAACACGUGAGUAACCUGCCCUUGACUUUGGGAUAACUUCAGGAAACUGGGGCUAAUACCGGAUAGGAGCUCCUGCUGCAUGGUGGGGGUUGGAAAGUUUCGGCGGUUGGGGAUGGACUCGCGGCUUAUCAGCUUGUUGGUGGGGUAGUGGCUUACCAAGGCUUUGACGGGUAGCCGGCCUGAGAGGGUGACCGGCCACAUUGGGACUGAGAUACGGCCCAGACGCCUACGGGAGGCAGCAGUGGGGAAUAUUGCACAAUGGGCGGAAGCCUGAUGCAGCAACGCCGCGUGCGGGAUGACGGCCUGCGGGUUGUAAACCGCUUUCGCCUGUGACGAAGCGUGAGUGACGGUAAUGGGUAAAGAAGCACCGGCUAACUACGUG